This is a small nuclear RNA of Naja naja (Indian cobra), 107 nucleotides long. The record is from Ensembl. Lineage: Eukaryota; Metazoa; Chordata; Lepidosauria; Squamata; Elapidae.
GUGCAUGCUUCAGCAGCACGUAUACUAAAAUUGGAAUGAUACAGAGAAGAUUAGCAUGGCCCUGCACAAGGAUGACACGCAAGAAGUAUGAUUCUGGACUAUGCAAU